UGGGGAAUAUUGCACAAUGGGGGAAACCCUGAUGCAGCGACGCCGCGUGAAGGAAGAAGUAUCUCGGUAUGUAAACUUCUAUCAGCAGGGAAGAUAGUGACGGUACCUGACUAAGAACGCCCCGGCUAACUACGUGCC
RNAcentral lists this ribosomal RNA (138 nucleotides) under uncultured bacterium. RNAcentral's name for it is "partial 16S ribosomal RNA". It matches the Rfam family "Bacterial small subunit ribosomal RNA", at positions 355 to 509 of the family's 1533-position model. The record is from RNAcentral.